This 85-nucleotide transfer RNA is filed under the name Planctomycetota bacterium. RNAcentral describes it as "Planctomycetes bacterium tRNA-Leu". It matches the Rfam family "tRNA". From Rfam's summary of the family: Transfer RNA (tRNA) molecules are approximately 80 nucleotides in length. Their secondary structure includes four short double-helical elements and three loops (D, anti-codon, and T loops). The record is from RNAcentral. RNAcentral also lists the same sequence under 1 other name. Lineage: Bacteria; Pseudomonadati; Planctomycetota.
GCCGAAGUGGCGGAACUGGCAGACGCGCUGGCUUCAGGUGCCAGUGGGCUUUACGCUCGUGGGGGUUCGAAUCCCCCCUUCGGCA